This is an RNA transcript of Phyllopteryx taeniolatus (common seadragon), 5458 nucleotides long. It is a transcript of the gene named adaptor related protein complex 2 subunit alpha 1, with no coding region annotated. The transcript is spliced from 24 exons. NCBI's taxonomy places the organism in Eukaryota, Metazoa, Chordata, Actinopteri, Syngnathiformes, Syngnathidae. The record is from RefSeq and is a predicted model, not a curated record.
GGUCACGCUGUAGUGCUGCUGCUGUCACGAGCUUGAUCAAGGCAGCGGGGUAAAGGUUCGAAGAAUUAAAACGGACAAAUAUUAUUCGACAUAUCUCCUUUUGCCUUUUUUUUUUAGCCUCACGCUAAAUACUCCGAGGCUACGUUGUUUUUGUCGCUGGCUGACAACAAACUGUUACUGAUGUUGUUUCACUCAACCGGUGAUGUAUCGCAGCAUUUGUACGCUAUCGCUAGCCAGCUAGUUGGCUAGCUGUUGAGCUAGCUGUACGGCGCUUGCGACUCGAGGAUAACUUAACGGCGUAUUCCAGGGUGUUAUUUUCAUUAACGCCUCUUGAAUUGCCACCUUUACGCCCGCCUGGAAGAUAUCAACACAGUGCGAGGUUUUAUCAUACAAUUACAUUUCUACUGUAGCCGUGUUUCAUGUUAUUCGCGUUUAAUCCUCGCUCGAGAAGGAUUGAAUGAAAUAGCUUGACAUAGCCAGCGGAAACGAGCCACUUAACGGGGAUAAGGUUUAUUUACCGCGCUUCGCCUUGAUUGUCGCCAUCCACCGAACCUUACAAUCAGGACCAUCUAGCCUUCUGCAUAAAGCAACAUCAUCAGAAAACACAAAAUCCUAAAGUUUUAUUUUUAUAUUUUUUUUUUACGAUUGACUGGCAGUGCUAAGUAGCUAGCUAGUCCUACACUUCAAGUUGCGGAUCGUCCACUCCAUCACAGAAGCUGACCAACAGAGGUUAUUUUUUCCACUUUCAGGCCGAAUAAAAACCUGCAAAAAUGCCGGCUGUGUCGAAAGGAGAUGGAAUGCGCGGAUUAGCUGUUUUCAUUUCGGACAUAAGGAAUUGUAAAAGCAAGGAAGCCGAGAUCAAGCGGAUCAAUAAAGAGCUGGCCAACAUUCGCUCCAAAUUUAAAGGGGACAAAGCUCUUGAUGGCUACAGCAAGAAGAAAUAUGUCUGUAAGCUGCUGUUUAUCUUCCUUCUUGGCCACGACAUUGACUUUGGACACAUGGAGGCAGUCAACUUGCUAAGUUCCAACAAGUACACAGAAAAGCAAAUUGGCUACCUGUUCAUCUCAGUUCUGGUCAACAGCAACAGCGAACUGAUCCGUCUGAUUAACAAUGCCAUCAAAAAUGACUUGUCCAGCCGCAACCCCACUUUCAUGUGCCUGGCACUUCACUGUAUUGCCAACGUGGGCAGCCGUGAGAUGGCUGAGGCAUUUGCGAGUGAAAUACCCCGCAUCUUAGUUGCUGGUGAUACAAUGGACAGCGUGAAGCAAUCAGCUGCCCUGUGUCUGCUGCGGCUCUAUAAGACUUCUCCUGACUUAGUACUGAUGGGGGAAUGGACAUCCCGUGUGGUGCACCUUCUAAAUGACCAACAUAUGGGUGUGGUGACAGCAGCCAUUUCUCUUAUCACCUGUUUGAGUCAGAAGAAUCCAGAUGAGUUUAAGACCUGUGUUUCCCUGGCCGUGUCACGACUCAGCAGGAUUGUGUCAUCAGCUUCCACCGACCUGCAAGAUUACACCUACUACUUUGUCCCAGCACCAUGGCUCUCUUGUAAAUUGCUGCGCCUGCUGCAGUGCUAUCCUCCACCUGAAGAUGGUGCUGUGAAGGGCCGUCUGGUGGAGUGUCUGGAAACCAUACUCAACAAGGCACAGGAGCCACCUAAGUCAAAGAAAGUACAGCACUCUAAUGCCAAGAAUGCUAUCCUCUUCGAGGCUAUCUCCCUUAUCAUCCACUAUGACAGUGAGCCAAAUCUGCUAGUGCGAGCCUGUAACCAGCUGGGUCAAUUCCUGCAGCACCGAGAGACUAACCUGCGCUACUUGGCUCUGGAAAGCAUGUGUACUCUGGCCAGCUCAGAGUUUUCUCAUGAAGCAGUCAAAACACACAUUGAGACUGUGAUAAAUGCGCUCAAGACUGAGCGGGAUGUUAGUGUUCGACAGAGAGCAGCAGAUCUGCUGUAUGCCAUGUGUGAUCGCAGCAAUGCCAAGCAAAUUGUAGCUGAGAUGCUCAGCUACCUUGAGACAGCUGACUACUCCAUCAGAGAGGAGAUGGUGCUCAAAGUGGCUAUCCUGGCCGAGAAGUAUGCUGUCGAUUACUCUUGGUACGUCGACACCAUUCUCAACCUCAUCCGCAUAGCUGGCGAUUAUGUCAGUGAAGAGGUAUGGUACCGUGUCAUCCAGAUCGUCAUCAAUCGUGAUGAUGUACAAGGAUAUGCUGCCAAGACAGUCUUUGAGGCGUUGCAAGCCCCUGCCUGUCAUGAGAACAUGGUGAAGGUUGGAGGCUACAUUCUUGGAGAGUUUGGUAACCUCAUUGCAGGUGACCCCCGUUCUAGCCCGCUAGUCCAGUUCAACCUUCUUCACUCCAAGUUCCAUCUAUGCUCUGUGCCGACUCGUGCCCUGCUACUGUCAGCCUACAUCAAGUUCAUCAACUUGUUCCCAGAGACCAAGACCACGAUUCAGGAGGUUCUUCGCUGUGACAGCCAGAUUCGCAACUCUGAUGUAGAGCUACAGCAGCGUGCUGUGGAGUAUUUGAAGCUCUCUUCUAUUGCCAGCACCGAUGUCUUGGCCACUGUUCUGGAGGAGAUGCCUCCUUUCCCUGAGAGGGAGUCUUCAAUCUUGGCUAAGCUGAAGAAGAAGAAGGGGCCUGGUGCAGUUUCAGUGACGGACCUGGAGGACAGCAAACGGGAGGGCGGGGAGUUGAAUGGAGGCGGCGAACGGGGCCCAGACACAUCAGCCAUGGCUACCUCCAAUGCUUCCACCCCAUCACCAUCAGCAGACCUACUUGGGAUUCGAUCUGGACCUCCUGUUGGCGCCGCUCCAACUAGUGCUGGCAGCCUGUUGGUGGAUGUGUUCUCUGAAGCAGGGCCCGCUGCACCCUCUGCUGUAGUGAAUGAUGAAGGCUUCCUAAGAGAUCUGGAACAGCCCACCGAGACCUCUGACUCCCUAAUGGUGGAGGGUUCUGGUGACUCGGAGUCAGAGGACAAAGAUGUUAUGGGCUCUGCUCCUCCCUCUGAGGAUCCUGCUCCCCCUCUGUCUGAGGCUGAUGAACUCCUUAACAAGUUUGUGUGCAAGAACAAUGGUGUUUUGUUUGAGAAUCAACUCCUACAGAUUGGCAUCAAGUCAGAAUAUCGUCAAAAUCUUGGGAGAAUGUACUUGUUCUAUGGCAACAAGACGUCAGUGCAAUUUGCCAGCUUCACCACCACAGUCAGCUGUCCCGGAGAGCUCCAGUCACAGCUUAAUGUUCAAACCAAACCAGUGGAAGCACUGGUAGAGGGAGGAGCCCAGAUCCAGCAGGUCCUCAACAUCGAGUGUCUGACGGACUUUUCCGAUGCGCCACUACUCAACAUCAAGUUCAAAUAUGGAGGAGCUCUGCAAAACCUCUCCCUCAAGCUGCCCGUCACCAUCAACAAAUUCUUCCAGCCAACUGAAAUGUCCUCAAAUGAUUUCUUUCAACGUUGGAAACAACUUAGCCAGCCUCAGCAAGAAGCGCAAAAGAUAUUCAAGGCCAACCACAGCAUGGACACAGAAGUACUGAAGGCUAAGCUACUGGGACUAGGAGCGGCCCUGCUGGACAAUGUCGAUCCAAACCCAGAGAACUACGUGUCUGCUGGAGUGAUCCAGACCAAGGGACAGCAAGUUGGCUGUCUGCUAAGACUGGAGCCCAAUGCCCAGGCACAGUUGCAGAUCAGACGUGUACAACGAUCAGGAUGACUUUUUGGACCAUUCCUCUUUACAAAACUGUUGCAGUUCUGCAAGAUUCCUGGGAUGUCUAGUGUGAAUAGCUCUCGAGAUGUACCGACUGACUCUGCGCUGCAGCAAGGACUCUGUGUCAAGGCGUCUCUGCGAGUUGCUGGCCCAACAGUUCUAGAAUAGCCAGAGUUCCAGAACUUUAUCAAGACCACCCCUACCAGCGAGCCCUCCCCACUCCUGCCACACUUCAAUUCCUCCUCUUGUCAACAAAGGUUCUUUUUAAUUACGAAAAAAGGUGUAACCAAUAUAAGGGAAAAGCAGUCACUGUUAGCACUGCAGCAGCGACCAUAUUAUUGUCAUUACUCUAAUUCAAGUUCAUCUACAAUUUGGUUAUUAACAUAAUGCUACAUUAUCGUUUUUUUCUUUAUGGUGUUUACCUGUGUAGCUGGUGUGUGCAGCCAGGACUGUGCGUGUGUGCGUGUCCCACUGUGUGCUGCGGUCCUAUUCUGUUUUAUCCUGGCUGCUCUGUACUUCUGAUGCUAUAUGUACAGUGUGUGUGUGCAGGUGGGUGUGUGUGUGCAUUUGGUUUAGUUUUUCUUAAAGACAAAUUGGAGAUAGUUUUCAUCACACACAUUCACCCAUUUUCUCUUGGCCUAUUCACACGCACACACCCACACAAGUAGUUCCUUGUGGCCCUCGUCGGGUGAAGGGAGACGUGAAGGUCCAGCUAAUUUCAAGCAUUCCCCAUGAUCAAAGGCCAGUUAAAAUGCACUUCAGGCUUUUGGGAUCCUCUGUGAGACCCUCCAGCAUGAGCCCCCUAGUGUGAACAACCUGAUUGCUCUCCUGGGGCUCUGUAAUUAGUAGCCCUACAUUUCAAUGACCGUGAUGGUUUAUUCGUUGAUGUCUGUAAAUUUGCCGCAGUGUGUUACUUUAUUGCUUUCAUAGACAUUCCCAUCUAGUGUGUGGCUAAGAUUAUCUAGGCCAGGAUGCCCAUCUAGACAAAUGGCAGUAAAUGGGAAGUAAGGUGAUUGACACAGGGUCGACAUUUUCAGUUGAAACAGGACUUCUCUUACCCACUACCUUGAGGGAUGUCCAGGUGAAAUGUGAGCUGCUCUACUGUGCAACCUAGAUUGUUUUUGAAGAGAUGCCAAAUUGUCUUUUUGAGAAAGGCCUCCUUUAUUUUUAAAUAAAUUGAGCACUUCUAAGGAUAAUAUAUUUAAACUUUGUCUUUACCCAUCAGAUAAAAUGGUCCCAAUGAUGCUAAGUACGUUGAUAUAGGCUUGAUCUGUUGCUCCAAUGUUCAUACAGAAUAACACUUUUUCAACAGUCUGCAUCAUAAAUCCAUCAACCUCCAAAUAUUUCUAUUCACAGAUUUGAUCUUCUUUCUUGGGCUUCCUCUUGCACACAGCAGCAAUAGUGAUGUAGUGGAAGAGUAUUAGAGUAGUCCAUUAUAAUAACUACAGGGAACUCUGUUUAUGUGAGAACUUGAGUGAGUCUGGAAGCAGGUAAUAAAAAGAAAUACUUAAGACUUUUCAGAGACAUCAUCAAAUUACAAUCUGUGGCUGCACAGCAAUCACAAAAUAUUGUAGUGGAAAGCUUAGUCAUUUUUUUUGUCAUUCUGUGAGUGUAUGUUUGUGUGUGCGUGUCUAUGCAGUAUCCACUAGCUAAUGCAGCCUCAUUUAUUGAUGUUAAAAAAAAAUUCCAAUACCUGUGUUAGAAUUAAGAUUUACUCUGUAAUGAAAAAUGUGAAGUAAAACUAUGCCAUAUAUCGGACAUGA